CCUACGGGAGGCAGCAGUGGGGAAUAUUGCGCAAUGGGCGAAAGCCUGACGCAGCGACGCCGCGUGAGGGUUGAAGGUCUUCGGAUCGUAAACCUCUGUCAGCAGGGAAGAACGGUCACUGUGCUAAUCAGCAGUGAAUUGACGGUACCUGCAAAGGAAGCACCGGCUAACUCCGUGCCAGCAGCCGCGGUAAUACGGAGGGUGCGAGCGUUAAUCGGAAUUACUGGGCGUAAAGCGCUCGUAGGCGGUAUGUCAAGUCAAGGGUGAAAUCCCCGCGCUCAACGUGGGAACUGCCUUUGAAAACGGGAAACUUGAGUGUGUGAGAGGAUAGUGGAAAUCCCGGUGGAGGAGUGAAAACCGUAGAUAAUUGGAGGAACAUCAGUGGGGAAGGCGACUAUCUGGCACAUAACUGACGCUGAGGAGCGAAAGCGUGGGUAGCCAACCGGAUUAGAUAACCCAGUAGUC
This 465-nucleotide ribosomal RNA is filed under the name uncultured bacterium. RNAcentral describes it as "partial 16S ribosomal RNA". It matches the Rfam family "Bacterial small subunit ribosomal RNA", at positions 338 to 795 of the family's 1533-position model. The record is from RNAcentral.